Molecule: transfer-messenger RNA, 373 nt
Filed under: Minisyncoccales
Lineage: Bacteria; Bacillati; Minisyncoccota; Minisyncoccia
Description: XYB1-FULL-40-15 sp001821555 X1 Standard tmRNA
Rfam family: transfer-messenger RNA
About the family: Bacterial tmRNA, also known as 10Sa RNA or SsrA, is named for its dual tRNA and mRNA-like properties. Its role is to liberate the mRNA from a stalled ribosome.
Source: RNAcentral
GGGGAUGAUGAGAAUCGAUAGAAGUUAUUAUUAAAAUAAGGCAAGCCCAGCUGGAAACCUGGUAAAACCUUCCAAAAAUCUUAAUAAGUGCCAACUUAUUCAAGAAACCCGCAUUAGCAUUUGCCUAAUGCCAUCCUUUCUAAUGAAUCUUGAUAAUUAGAAAGGGUGUCAUUCAUCAAGAUAGAUAAUUCUUUUUACCCACCAUAGCUUCAGCGAAGGCGGGUUGCCUCAGAGAAUUAUCAAAAUAAUAGAGGCACAAAGCUGUGAAGUUUUGCCCGUUGAAUAUUCAUAGCUUUUCAUCAAACGGGCUAAGCUUGUAGAAUUGUUUUAAUUAAACUUCUAGACGCGGGCGCAACUCCCGCCAUCUCCACCA